GCUGUUCAACAAGAAGACAAACUGCAGGUGUUCCUCUACAGCAGCUCUCUGUUUGGGCUUUGGAAAGCUGUGUAUGAACCACACCUGUCAGGGUUUAACUGUUCCAGCAUCAGUUCCUCUGAUCAGAGUGACUGAUCUCACCCACACUCAUGGUCAACCUCUGCUGUCCCUCAGCUGUGGACCUUUGACCACCAUGACCAGGCGCAGCUGGAGGGGGUCCAACGUGACAGUAAAGUCACUGAGAGACAGUCAGACAGAGCACCUGGACCUCUUACUGACAG
Labrus bergylta (ballan wrasse) is the source of this 281-nucleotide non-coding RNA. The record is from RefSeq and is a predicted model, not a curated record. Lineage: Eukaryota; Metazoa; Chordata; Actinopteri; Labriformes; Labridae.